RNAcentral lists this transfer RNA (70 nucleotides) under Desmophyllum pertusum. RNAcentral's name for it is "tRNA-Ile". It matches the Rfam family "tRNA", at positions 5 to 66 of the family's 71-position model. From Rfam's summary of the family: Transfer RNA (tRNA) molecules are approximately 80 nucleotides in length. Their secondary structure includes four short double-helical elements and three loops (D, anti-codon, and T loops). Further hydrogen bonds mediate the characteristic L-shaped molecular structure. tRNAs have two regions of fundamental functional importance: the anti-codon, which is responsible for specific mRNA codon recognition, and the 3' end, to which the tRNAs corresponding amino acid is attached (by aminoacyl-tRNA synthetases). tRNAs cope with the degeneracy of the genetic code in two manners: having more than one tRNA (with a specific anti-codon) for a particular amino acid; and 'wobble' base-pairing, i.e. permitting non-standard base-pairing at the 3rd anti-codon position. Lineage: Eukaryota; Metazoa; Cnidaria; Anthozoa; Scleractinia; Caryophylliidae. The record is from RNAcentral.
UCCUGUAGCUCAAUGGUAGAGCGUUCGACCGAUGUGCGAAAGGUCAUAGGUUAGACUCCUGUUGGCGAAA